Phalacrocorax carbo (great cormorant) is the source of this 1293-nucleotide non-coding RNA. The record is from RefSeq and is a predicted model, not a curated record. Lineage: Eukaryota; Metazoa; Chordata; Aves; Suliformes; Phalacrocoracidae.
CGCUCGGCAGCCGGGCGGCCCGGGGAGGAGCUCGGAGGCGGCGGCGCAGCCGCUCCCCACCGCCCCUGCCCAGAAGCCGGCCCGCCCCCGCCCCGCCCCGCCGGAACCGGCCGGCGGCCUCCCCCCGGGGCCCGCGCCGGGGCCGCAACGUGCCCCUUCCCCACAGCAGCGACGGCCGCCCGCGUCCUCUCCCCGUCUCCAUCCCCGUAUCGAACCCCCGCCUUAUUACCGACACCAGAGAGAACCGAAAGCGCGGUGACCAGGUCAUUCCCCGCAGCAAAGGGAUUAGAAAUUCCUUCGCGUUUGAUUUACCGCGCGUUAAGCAGGUGGUUCCACCUCUCCAGACCCUGCCCGGCCCGGGCGCCUUACCGACCCGGGGCUGUGGGGAGGGUUUCCUCAGGCAAGAGGACGCCUAGCGCUGGGCCCCUGCCCGCGCCCAGCGUGCGUGCGCCCUCGCACGCGAGGGAGCCCUUUCCGAGAACACGCGAGUUCGUCAGCCGCACGCAGCGCAUCGGAAUGGGCCGUCCUCGCUGGAGCCGAAGAUACCACUCUCAACUUCCAAACGUUACUGAAUUUCACGGUGGUGUGAGCUCAGCCCCCUUCUCGCAUGGGGCUGCCAGCAUUUCGGCCUGUACCCGUUACUGCCUGUGACACUCUGAAAAGGAAAGCAUGAAAUGCUGCAAAUACCAUGAAUUACAAAGAACCUAUCAACCAAAACUUUCAAAAUGCUGAAGGAGGAAACUGGAGCAGAUGAGACCAUAUCAAGACACCAAAAAUGGGUCACACAUGCUACAUUGAGUUCCCUUCAGAUACAGCAAGUGUCACAUAAAUCCAGCAAGUUCCAGCUUUUAGAAAUUAAAGGUUUUGCAAACUAAAAACCAGCUUUCAAGAGCCCCUGAACUAGAUUAGGACUGUAUAAACCAUCAGGCUGUAAGAGCUUGACAUCUUUUCAGCAGAUCUAUGCCAAGAAUGAUGUUCAAGACUGUUGGCUACAUAAGCAUAGCUACAUCAUCUCUGGCCUCCACCUUAGGAAUGGCCAACUCCUCCCACCCCACACGCAGUCCAGAUAUCAGUUCAUUCUAGGUAUUUCUGCACUGACCUGUUGGAGACACCCUGGAGAAAAGGGGCCGUUAUCAGGCCCGGACAACUCUGUAUCACUGUACUGCUGUUUGCUGCUGGAACUACAAGGACUCACAGCUCUUCAGUCCUAGGGCACCUAUUCCUGGUGCUGUUACGGUGACGGGAAAAGCCACCGCAGCAGCUUUCUGUUUCUGUUCUUGACCCACCUGAGGU